CGGACGGGUGGGUAAUGUAUGGGGAUCUGCCUGAUGGCGGGGGAUAACUACUGGAAACGGUAGCUAAUACCGCAUAAUGUCUACGGACCAAAGCGGGGGACCUCCGGGCCUCGCGCCAUCAGAUGAACCCAUAUGGGAUUAGCUAGUAGGUAAGGUAACGGCUUACCUAGGCGACGAUCCCUAGCUGGUCUGAGAGGAUGACCAGCCACACUGGAACUGAGACACGGUCCAG
This 232-nucleotide ribosomal RNA is filed under the name uncultured bacterium. RNAcentral's name for it is "partial 16S ribosomal RNA". It matches the Rfam family "Bacterial small subunit ribosomal RNA", at positions 99 to 334 of the family's 1533-position model. The record is from RNAcentral.